RNAcentral lists this ribosomal RNA (301 nucleotides) under uncultured bacterium. RNAcentral's name for it is "partial 16S ribosomal RNA". It matches the Rfam family "Bacterial small subunit ribosomal RNA", at positions 509 to 807 of the family's 1533-position model. The record is from RNAcentral.
CAGUAGCCGCGGGAAUACAGAGGGUGCGAGCGUUAAUCGGAUUUACUGGGCGUAAAGCGUGCGUAGGCGGCUUCUUAAGUCGGAUGUGAAAUCCCUGAGCUUAACUUAGGAAUUGCAUUCGAUACUGGGAAGCUAGAGUAUGGGAGAGGAUGGUAGAAUUCCAGGUGUAGCGGUGAAAUGCGUAGAGAUCUGGAGGAAUACCGAUGGCGAAGGCAGCCAUCUGGCCUAACACUGACGCUGAGGUACGAAAGCAUGGGGAGCAAACAGGAUUAGAUACCCCAGUAGUCCCUGUCUCUUAUAC